CCCUUAGAUGUUCUGGGCCGCACGCGCGCUACACUGUUCGACGCAGCGAGUCUUAACCUUGACCGAAAGGUUUGGGUAAUCUUCAGCAAAGUCGAACGUGAUGGGGAUCGAUCAUUGCAAUUAUUGAUCGUGAACGAGGAAUUCCUAGUAAGUGCAAGUCAUCAGCUUGCGCUGAUUACGUCCCUGCCCUUUGUACACACCGCCCGUCGCUACUACCGAUUGAAUGGUUUAGUGAGAUCUCUGGAUUGACGCUGGCUAGGGAGCGACCCUUGGCCAGACUGCUCGAGAAACUGCUCAAACUUGAUCAUUUAGAGGAAGUAAAAGUCGUAACA
Molecule: ribosomal RNA, 332 nt
Filed under: uncultured eukaryote
Lineage: Eukaryota
Description: partial 18S ribosomal RNA
Rfam family: Eukaryotic small subunit ribosomal RNA
Source: RNAcentral